This 305-nucleotide ribosomal RNA is filed under the name uncultured bacterium. Its description in RNAcentral is "bacterial SSU rRNA". It matches the Rfam family "Bacterial small subunit ribosomal RNA", at positions 1073 to 1390 of the family's 1533-position model. The record is from RNAcentral.
UGUUGGGUUAAGUCCCGCAACGAGCGCAACCCGUGUUGCUAGUUACAAGUGUCUAGCGAGACUGCCGGUAACAAGCCGGAGGAAGGUGCGGAUGAUGUCAAGUCAGCAUGGCCUAUAUGUCCAGGGCUACACACACGCUACAAUGGCUGGUACAAAGAGAAGCGAAAGGGAGACCUGAAGCGAAUCUCAUCAAAGCCAGUCAUAGUUCGGAUUGCAGGCUGCAACUCGCCUGCAUGAAGUCGGAGUUGCUAGUAACCGCAGGUCAGCAAUACUGCGGUGAAUACGUUCCCGGGCCUUGUACACAC